This 220-nucleotide long non-coding RNA is filed under the name Linum usitatissimum (flax). Its description in RNAcentral is "long non-coding RNA (LUSI_LNC005063)". The record is from RNAcentral. Lineage: Eukaryota; Viridiplantae; Streptophyta; Magnoliopsida; Malpighiales; Linaceae.
UGAUGGCUGCUGCUGCAUUGGUGGGUUGUGAUGCUGAGGGUUUGGCUGAUGAGUUGUUGGAUGGCUUUGAAUGGAGGAUUGUGGGAGGGUUGGUGAAGGAGUUGCAGCUCAUGGCUGGUUUUUUUUUGUUUGGAUUGAGAAUUUGUGUGAAGGAAUGAAAGAAAAGGUUUGUUGUUGGUGGCAAGUUGGUUUGGAAAUGGGGUAAUUGGGACCUUAGAAU